RNAcentral lists this ribosomal RNA (465 nucleotides) under uncultured Klebsiella sp. Its description in RNAcentral is "bacterial SSU rRNA". It matches the Rfam family "Bacterial small subunit ribosomal RNA", at positions 338 to 795 of the family's 1533-position model. The record is from RNAcentral. Lineage: Bacteria; Pseudomonadati; Pseudomonadota; Gammaproteobacteria; Enterobacterales; Enterobacteriaceae.
CCUACGGGUGGCUGCAGUGGGGAAUAUUGCACAAUGGGCGCAAGCCUGAUGCAGCCAUGCCGCGUGUGUGAAGAAGGCCUACGGGUUGUAAAGCACUUUCAGCGGGGAGGAAGGCGGUGAGGUUAAUAACCUCAUCGAUUGACGUUACCCGCAGAAGAAGCACCGGCUAACUCCGUGCCAGCAGCCGCGGUAAUACGGAGGGUGCAAGCGUUAAUCGGAAUUACUGGGCGUAAAGCGCACGCAGGCGGUCUGUCAAGUCGGAUGUGAAAUCCCCGGGCUCAACCUGGGAACUGCAUUCGAAACUGGCAGGCUAGAGUCUUGUAGAGGGGGGUAGAAUUCCAGGUGUAGCGGUGAAAUGCGUAGAGAUCUGGAGGAAUACCGGUGGCGAAGGCGGCCCCCUGGACAAAGACUGACGCUCAGGUGCGAAAGCGUGGGGAGCAAACAGGAUUAGAUACCCUAGUAGUC